Molecule: ribosomal RNA, 1675 nt
Filed under: Pseudecheneis sulcata (sucker throat catfish)
Lineage: Eukaryota; Metazoa; Chordata; Actinopteri; Siluriformes; Sisoridae
Description: 16S ribosomal RNA
Rfam family: Bacterial large subunit ribosomal RNA (bases 99-1563)
Source: RNAcentral
GCCAAACAGCUAGCUUUAACAACUAAGUAAAUAAUACAACAUUAAAAACCUUAAUACAACUACAAUUAGAUAAAUUAAAACAUUUUACCGCCAAAGUAUGUGAGACAAAAAAGGCACCACUUUAAAGCUAUAGAAACAGUACCGCAAGGGAAUGCUGAAAGAGAAAUGAAACAAAUCAUUAAAGCACAACAAAGCAGAGACUAGUCCUCGUACCUUUUGCAUCAUGAUUUAGCCAGCCCCCCUGAGCAAAGUGCGCUUUAGUUCAAAGCCCCGAAACUAAGUGAGCUACCCCGAGACAGCCUAUUAACUAGGGCCAACCCGUCUCUGUGGCAAAAGAGUGGGAAGAUCUCCAGGUAGAGGUGACAGACCUACCGAACUUAGUUAUAGCUGGUUGCCUAAGAAAUGAAUAAAAGUUCAGCCUCACACUCCUUAACUCAAUAAACAACUUAAAAUAAACGAGCCAAAGAAAUAUGUGAGAGUUAUUCACAAGGGGUACAGCCCUUGUGAAACAGAAUACAAUCUCAUCAGGAGGUUAAAGAUUAUAUUAAACAAGACAUACUGCUCCAGUGGGCCUAAAAGCAGCCACCUGAACAGAAAGCGUUAAAGCUCCGGCAGAAUAAAAUCUAUUAUCUAAAUAUGUAAUCUAAAACCCCUAACCCUAUUAGGCCACUCCAUGCCAACAUGGAAAAGAUACUGCUAAAAUGAGUAAUAAGAAGGAACCCCCUUCUCCAAGCCUACGUGUAUGCUAGAUCGGACCUCCCACCAGCAAUUACCGAACCCAACCAAAGAGGGAAAUGUGACCCUAACAAAUACCAAGAAAUACUCACACGACCUGAUCGUUAACCCCACACUGGAAGGCCACUGAAGGAAAGACUAAAAGAAAAGGAAGGAACUCGGCAAACACAAGCCUCGCCUGUUUACCAAAAACAUCGCCUCCUGCAAACUUCAACGUAUAGGAGGUCUUGCCUGCCCAGUGACAAGUUAAACGGCCGCGGUAUUUUGACCGUGCGAAGGUAGCGCAAUCACUUGUCUUUUAAAUGAAGACCUGUAUGAAUGGUGAAACGAGGGCUUAACUGUCUCCCUUUUCAAGUCAAUGAAAUUGAUCUACCCGUGCAGAAGCGGGUAUAAAAAUACAAGACGAGAAGACCCUUUGGAGCUUAAGAUGUAAGAUCAACUAUGUCAAGGACUAAUUACUAGCCAAACUAAAUAGUAACUGAUCCCAAUCUUCGGUUGGGGCGACCACGGGAGAAAAUAAAGCUCCCACGCGGACUGGGGAAACCCCCUAAAAUUAAGAGAGACAUCUCUAAAUAACAGAAAUUCUGACCACAAUGAUCCGGCUACCUUGCCGACCAACGAACCAAGUUACCCUAGGGAUAACAGCGCAAUCCCCUUUCAGAGUCCAUAUCGACAAGGGGGUUUACGACCUCGAUGUUGGAUCAGGACAUCCUAAUGGUGCAGCCGCUAUUAAGGGUUCGUUUGUUCAACGAUUAAAGUCCUACGUGAUCUGAGUUCAGACCGGAGUAAUCCAGGUCAGUUUCUAUCUGUAAUGCCACUUUUCCUAGUACGAAAGGACCGGAAAAAGGGGGCCCAUGUUACCAAAUACGCCCCACCCUAACUUAAUGCAACAAACUAAAUUAAACAAAAGGAGGGCAUAAACCCACAUCAAGAUAAGAUU